AACGAACGCUGGCGGCAUGCCUAACACAUGCAAGUCGAACGAGACCUUCGUGUCUAGUGGCGCACGGGUGCGUAACGCCGGGGAACCUGCCCUUAGGUUCGGAAUAACUCCCUGAAAGAGGUGUUAAUACCGGAUAAUGUCUUCGGACCAAAGAUUUAUCGCCUUUGGAUGGGCCCGCGUUGGAUUAGCUGGUUGGUAGGGUAAAAGCCUACCAAGGCGACGAUCCAUAGCUGGUCUGAGAGGAUGAUCAGCCACACUGGGACUGAGACACGGCCCAGACUCCUACGGGAGGCAGCAGUGGGGAAUAUUGGACAAUGGGCGAUAGCCUGAUCCAGCAAUGCCGCGUGAGUGAUGAAGGCCUUAGGGUUGUAAAGCUCUUUUACCCGGGAUGAUAAUGACAGUACCGGGAGAAUAAGCGCCGGCUAACUCCGUG
Molecule: ribosomal RNA, 433 nt
Filed under: uncultured bacterium
Lineage: Bacteria
Description: partial 16S ribosomal RNA
Rfam family: Bacterial small subunit ribosomal RNA
Source: RNAcentral